AAAAACAUCGCCUCCUGCAUAAUAACUCAACGUAUAGGAGGUCCUGCCUGCCCAGUGACAACUAGUUAAACGGCCGCGGUAUUUUGACCGUGCUAAGGUAGCGCAAUCACUUGUCUUUUAAAUGAGGACCUGUAUGAAUGGCGGAACGAGGGCUUAACUGUCUCCUUUUCCUAGUCAAUGAAAUUGAUCUACCCGUGCAGAAGCGGGUAUACUAAUACAAGACGAGAAGACCCUUUGGAGCUUAAGAUAAAAGGCCAACUAUGUCAAAGGCCCAAAUAAACUAAGCCAAACAAAACAGCCAACUGGCCAAUAUCUUCGGUUGGGGCGACCGCGGGGGAAAACAAAGCCCCCACGUGGAACGGGGAAUAUACCCUAAAACCAAGAGAGACAUCUCUAAGUCACAGAACAUCUGACCAAAAGAUCCGGCCAACCAAGCCGAUCAACGGACCAAGUUACCCUAGGGAUAACAGCGCAAUCCCCUCCAAGAGUUCAUAUCGACAAGGGGGUUUACGACCUCGAUGUUGGAUCAGGACAUCCUAAUGGUGCAGCCGCUAUUAAGGGUUCGUUUGUUCAACGAUUAAAGUCCUACGUGAUCUGAG
This 599-nucleotide ribosomal RNA is filed under the name Piaractus mesopotamicus (pacu). Its description in RNAcentral is "partial 16S large subunit ribosomal RNA". It matches the Rfam family "Bacterial large subunit ribosomal RNA", at positions 1809 to 2609 of the family's 2925-position model. The record is from RNAcentral. Lineage: Eukaryota; Metazoa; Chordata; Actinopteri; Characiformes; Serrasalmidae. RNAcentral also lists the same sequence under 1 other name.